GACGAACGCUGGCGGCGUGCCUAACACAUGCAAGUCGAACGGGGUGAUCCUUCGGGGUCACUUAGUGGCGAACGGGUGAGUAACGCGUGAGAAACCUGCCUCUCAGUGGGGGACAACAGUUGGAAACGACUGCUAAUACCGCAUAAUGUAUUCGGAGGGCAUCCUCUGGAUACCAAAGCUUUAUGUGCUGAGAGAUGGUCUCGCGUCUGAUUAGCUAGUUGGCGGGGUAACGGCCCACCAAGGCGACGAUCAGUAGCCGGUCUGAGAGGAUGAACGGCCACAUUGGGACUGAGAUACGGCCCAGACUCCUACGGGAGGCAGCAGUGGGGAAUAUUGGGCAAUGGGGGAAACCCUGACCCAGCAACGCCGCGUGAAGGAAGAAAGGCCUUCGGGUUGUAAACUUCUUUUACCAGGGACGAAGAACGUGACGGUACCUGGAGAAAAAGGACAACGGCUAACUACGUG
This 465-nucleotide ribosomal RNA is filed under the name uncultured bacterium. RNAcentral's name for it is "bacterial SSU rRNA". It matches the Rfam family "Bacterial small subunit ribosomal RNA", at positions 28 to 507 of the family's 1533-position model. The record is from RNAcentral.